GACGAACUCUGGCGGCGUGCUUAACACAUGCAAGUCGAACGGUAAGGCUCCAGCUUGCUGGGGUACACGAGUGGCGAACGGGUGAGUAACACGUGGGUGACCUGCCCUGCACUUCGGGAUAAGCCUGGGAAACUGGGUCUAAUACCGGAUAGGACCGCACCGUGAGGGUGUGGUGGAAAGUUUUUUCGGUGUGGGGUGGGCCCGCGGCCUAUCAGCUUGUUGGUGGGGUAAUGGCCUACCAAGGCGGCGACGGGUAGCCGGCCUGAGAGGGUGGACGGCCACAUUGGGACUGAGACACGGCCCAGACUCCUACGGGAGGCAGCAGUGGGGAAUAUUGCACAAUGGGCGGAAGCCUGAUGCAGCGACGCCGCGUGGGGGAUGACGGCCUUCGGGUUGUAGACUCCUUUCACCAUCGACGAAGGGUUUCUGACGGUAGAUGGAGAAGAAGCACCGGCUAACUACGUGCCAGCAGCCGCGGUAAUACGUAGGGUGCGAGCGUUGUCCGGAAUUACUGGGCGUAAAGAGCUCGUAGGUGGUUUGUCGCGUCGUCUGUGAAAUUCCGGGGCUUAACUCCGGGCGUGCAGGCGAUACGGGCAUAACUUGAGUACUGUAGGGGAGACUGGAAUUCCUGGCGUAGCGGUGAAAUGCGCAGAUAUCAGGAGGAACACCGGUGGCGAAGGCGGGUCUCUGGGCAGUAACUGACGCUGAGGAGCGAAAGCAUGGGGAGCGAACAGGAUUAGAUACCCUGGUAGUCCAUGCCGUAAACGGUGGGCGCUAGGUGUGGGUUUCCUUCCACGGGAUCCGUGCCGUAGCUAACGCAUUAAGCGCCCCGCCUGGGGAGUACGGCCGCAAGGCUAAAACUCAAAGGAAUUGACGGGGGCCCGCACAAGCGGCGGAGCAUGUGGAUUAAUUCGAUGCAACGCGAAGAACCUUACCUGGGCUUGACAUAUACAGGAUCGCGCCAGAGAUGGUGUUUCCCUUGUGGCUUGUAUACAGGUGGUGCAUGGUUGUCGUCAGCUCGUGUCGUGAGAUGUUGGGCUAAGUCCCGCAACGAGCGCAACCCUUGUCUUAUGUUGCCAGCACGUUGUGGUGGGGACUCGUAAGAAACUGCCGGGGUUAACUCGGAGGAAGGUGGAGAUGACGUCAAAUCAUCAUGCCCCUUAUGUCCAGGGCUUCACACAUGCUACAAUGGUCGGUACAGUGGGUUGCCAGUCCGUGAGGGCGAGCUAAUCCCGCAAAGCCGGUCUCAGUUCGGAUCGGGGUCUGCAACUCGACCCCGUGAAGUCGGAGUCGCUAGUAAUCGCAGAUCAGCAACGCUGCGGUGAAUACGUUCCCGGGCCU
This 1341-nucleotide ribosomal RNA is filed under the name uncultured bacterium. RNAcentral describes it as "partial 16S ribosomal RNA". It matches the Rfam family "Bacterial small subunit ribosomal RNA", at positions 28 to 1381 of the family's 1533-position model. The record is from RNAcentral.